Molecule: long non-coding RNA, 1384 nt
Organism: Spinacia oleracea (spinach)
Lineage: Eukaryota; Viridiplantae; Streptophyta; Magnoliopsida; Caryophyllales; Amaranthaceae
Exons: 3
Source: RefSeq, a predicted model, not a curated record
CUGCAACCGAUAGACAGAUUGAGAUUACUAAUGAAAUAUAUGUUGAAAACCUGUGUUAUUGACUUUAAGGGUAAUUGGGAAAACCACCUAGAUUCGAUUGACCUUCUUGCAACAAUAGUUACUAUGCGAGCUUUAAGAUGACACAUGUUGAGGCAUUGUGUGGAAAGAAGUGUAGAAAUCCAACUUGCUACGAUUUUAGUGGAAAUAUAGCAUUGGGGACAUGAUUCGUUGAAGUAGGAAUAUCCAAAGUUAUUCCCUGAGAUGAGUUACGAGGGCGUAACUCGUUUUCUUUAAGGGGGGUAGAAUGCGAUAGAAAUUCGCGCUUUUUACCUAUUUUUGUAGCAAUUUUAUGCAUUUUAUGCUCAUUUUUAGCAACUUAUACAUGUUGAUGUAAAGCAAAUAGAUUCUCCGCAUAAGAAAAAUGUGUUCAUGAGUAACACAAGCAACUUUAAGUUGGCAAAAGAGUGCACAUGAGUGACACAAGUAUUUCUCAAGUAAGAAUGAAUUAAAGACUUUUGAAAAAUGUGUGAAUUUUCGUGUCAAGUUUCGGGACGAAACUUCUUUUAAGAGGGGUAGAUUGUAAUCCCCCGUAAUUUUAUACAUUUUAUUGAUAUAUUUUAACGUAUAGUUAAUUAUAUUUAAAUAGAAUUUGCGAAUUUUAGAAAUAAAUUAUUUAAGUAACGAAUAUUUAUUUUUAUACGUUUUAAAUAUCUCAACGAUUUAUGAAAUUAAAAUAAGUUUAGAAUUUUAUGUUGAAAAGAAAUUGAAUUACGAAAACCGUUUGAAUUUUGAAAACAAUCCUAAUUGGUUUUGGAUUCAAACACUUAAACUCAACCUUAGUUCUAGCCCAAGUUGAUAAAGCCCAAAUAAUAAGACCCAAAACACUUUACUCCUUUCCUCUCUUUCAAUGUUACGUAAAAGCAAAAACAACAAAAACUUCUCUGCUUCACUUUCACGUGAACCAUAACCCUUAACCUCUUCCCCCUUUGCUCAGCCGCCAGCCGGCAGCCACGCUGGACCACCGUCACUACACCGACCUCCUGCCACCAGCCCCUCCGCCGUCGCGCACGCAACCACCACCUGUACCACCACCUGCUCCCGCCGACUUCCCAUCGCCACAACCCAGCCGUCGACCAACCUCCUCCCUUCUCCUUUACAUACACAAGAAAUCCCCCCUCCUAUUUUCUUUGUUGCUCCGCACGCAGCUACCAGUCGCGCUGCACCACCGUCGCGCCACCAAGAGUGUUGAACCACCGACGUACCCACCGUCUGCUGCCGCCACUGUCGCCGGCCAGCAGCUUCCUUCUUCCUCACUUUAGGUGGAGAAUUCUCUUUAGGCAACUUUUGAAAGUGUUAAGGUGACGUAUCAGUUUGUUUACACAAG